AGCGAACGCUGGCGGCAGGCCUAACACAUGCAAGUCGAACGAACCUUUCGGGGUUAGUGGCGGACGGGUGAGUAACGCGUGGGAACGUGCCCUUUGCUUCGGAAUAGCCCUGGGAAACUGGGAGUAAUACCGGAUGAGCCCUUUGGGGGAAAGAUUUAUCGGCGAAGGAUCGGCCCGCGUUGGAUUAGGUAGUUGGUGGGGUAAUGGCCUACCAAGCCGACGAUCCAUAGCUGGUUUGAGAGGAUGAUCAGCCACACUGGGACUGAGACACGGCCCAGACUCCUACGGGAGGCAGCAGUGGGGAAUCUUAGACAAUGGGGGAAACCCUGAUCUAGCCAUGCCGCGUGAGCGAUGAAGGCCUUAGGGUUGUAAAGCUCUUUCAGCUGGGAAGAUAAUGACGGUACCAGCAGAAGAAGCCCCGGCUAACUCCGUG
This 433-nucleotide ribosomal RNA is filed under the name uncultured bacterium. Its description in RNAcentral is "partial 16S ribosomal RNA". It matches the Rfam family "Bacterial small subunit ribosomal RNA", at positions 29 to 507 of the family's 1533-position model. The record is from RNAcentral.